Molecule: ribosomal RNA, 1435 nt
Filed under: Heteroplacidium imbricatum
Lineage: Eukaryota; Fungi; Ascomycota; Eurotiomycetes; Verrucariales; Verrucariaceae
Description: eukaryotic LSU rRNA
Rfam family: Eukaryotic large subunit ribosomal RNA
Source: RNAcentral
GGAGGAAAAGAAACCAACAGGGAUUGCCUCAGUAACGGCGAGUGAAGCGGCAGCAGCUCAAAUUUGAAAUCUGGCCCCGCUCCGGGGCCCGAGUUGUAAUUUGUAGAGGAUGCUUCGGGCCCGGCCGCGGUCCAAUUCGCUUGGAACAGCGGGUCACAGAGGGUGAGAAUCCCGUCCAGGGCCGCGCGCCGCGCCCGUGUGAAGCUCCUUCGACGAGUCGAGUUGUUUGGGAAUGCAGCUCUAAGUGGGUGGUAAAUUCCAUCUAAAGCUAAAUAUGGGCCAGAGACCGAUAGCGCACAAGUAGAGUGAUCGAAAGAUGAAAAGCACUUUGAAAAGAGAGUUAAACAGUAUGUGAAAUUGUUGAAAGGGAAGCGCUGGCAACCAGACUUGCGCGGGACGGUUCCCCCGAUCCUCUGAUCGGGCUACUCCGUCCCGGACAGGCCAGCAUCGGUUCGGGUGGUCGGUGAAAGGCCCCGGGAAUGUAUCUACCUUCGGGUCGACUUAUAGCCCGGGGCGCAACGCGGCCCACCGGGACCGAGGAACGCGCUCCGGCACGGAUGCUGGCGUAAUGGUUGUCAGCGGCCCGUCUUGAAACACGGACCAAGGAGUCUAACAUCUGUGCGAGUGUUUGGGUGUCAAACCCCGACGCGGAAUGAAAGUGAACGGAGAUAAGACCCCCGCCCGGGGCGCAUUAUCGACCGAUCCUGAUGUCUUCGGAUGGAUUUGAGUAAGAGCAUAGCUGUUGGGACCCGAAAGAUGGUGAACUAUGCCUGGAUAGGGUGAAGCCAGAGGAAACUCUGGUGGAGGCUCGCAGCGGUUCUGACGUGCAAAUCGAUCGUCAAAUCUGGGUAUAGGGGCGAAAGUAGGUGAUAUACAUUGGUAUCGUGGAGGGUGGACGCUAAUCUCGUGUGUUUUUUUAGGACCAAUCGAACCAUCUGGUAGCUGGUUCCUGCCGAAGUUUCCCUCAGGAUAGCAGUAACGUGAUCAGUUUUAUGAGGUAAAGCGAAUGAUUAGAGGCCUUGGGGUUGAAACAACCUUAACCUAUUCUCAAACUUUAAAUAUGUAAGAAGUCCUUGUUGCUUGGUUGAACGUGGACAUUCGAAUGGAUCGUUACUAGUGGGCCAUUUUUGGUAAGCAGAACUGGCGAUGCGGGAUGAACCGAACGUGAGGUUAAGGUGCCGGAAUGUACGCUCAUCAGACACCACAAAAGGUGUCAAUGCAUCCAGACAGCCGGACGGUGGCCAUGGAAGUCGGAAUCCGCUUAGGAGUGUGUAACAACUCACCGGCCGAAUGCAUUGGCCCUGAAAAUGGAUGGCGCUUAAGCGUGCUACCUAUACCUCGCCGUUGGGGUUGAAGUGAGGCCCCAACGAGUAGGCAGGCGUGGGGGUCCGUGACGAAGCCUCGGGGGCGACCCCGGGUCGAACGACCCCCAGUG